Non-coding RNA from Lactuca sativa (garden lettuce), 516 nucleotides. NCBI's taxonomy places the organism in Eukaryota, Viridiplantae, Streptophyta, Magnoliopsida, Asterales, Asteraceae. The record is from RefSeq and is a predicted model, not a curated record.
GAAGAUAACGAAGCUCCUGGAUGGACACAAUUGAAGCUGCCCGGGCAAGCUCCAGCUGCCCGAUGCGGGCAUACUGUCACCUCUGGAGGCCACUAUCUUCUCAUGUUUGGAGGCCAUGGAACCGGUGGUUGGUUUAGUCGCAAUGAUGUUUACUACAAUGACUGUGUUGUUUUAGACAGGGGUGAGUCAGUGUCAGUCAUUUUCACAUAAGAUUUUUUUUACAAAAAAAAAUAGUUUAUGUUCUGUUGUUAUAUUUUUUUUAUUGUGUGUUGUGUUAUUGUGUUUUAUUAUCAGUGUCUGUGCAGUGGAAACGCCUUGCAACUAAUACUGAAGCUCCUGCUGUGUGUGCUUACCACUCCAUGACAUGUAUUGGCUCACGUUAUCUUUUAUUUGGUGGCUUUGAUGGAAAACUCACAUUUGGUGAUCUAUGGUGGUUAGUUCCUGAAGAUGAUCCUAUUUCAAAGCGAUCAGAAGUAAUUCAAGAGACCCGGAAUGACUUCCAAUCCGAAACAAAGG